CAGUAGCCGCGGGAAUACGGAGGGUGCAAGCGUUAAUCGGAAUUACUGGGCGUAAAGCGUGCGUAGGCGGUUCGUUAAGUCUGUUGUGAAAGCCCCGGGCUCAACCUGGGAAUGGCAAUGGAUACUGGCGAGCUAGAGUGUGUCAGAGGAUGGUGGAAUUCCCGGUGUAGCGGUGAAAUGCGUAGAGAUCGGGAGGAACAUCAGUGGCGAAGGCGGCCAUCUGGGACAAGACUGACGCUGAGGCACGAAAGCGUGGGGAGCAAACAGGAUUAGAUACCCCUGUAGUCCCUGUCUCUUAUAA
This 301-nucleotide ribosomal RNA is filed under the name uncultured bacterium. RNAcentral describes it as "partial 16S ribosomal RNA". It matches the Rfam family "Bacterial small subunit ribosomal RNA", at positions 509 to 809 of the family's 1533-position model. The record is from RNAcentral.